This 434-nucleotide ribosomal RNA is filed under the name Naucoridae sp. MG-2011. RNAcentral describes it as "partial 16S ribosomal RNA". It matches the Rfam family "Bacterial large subunit ribosomal RNA", at positions 1852 to 2542 of the family's 2925-position model. The record is from RNAcentral. Lineage: Eukaryota; Metazoa; Arthropoda; Insecta; Hemiptera; Naucoridae.
GUCUGGCCUGCCCAAUGAUUUAUAUUUAAUGGCCGCGGUACUUUGACCGUGCAAAGGUAGCAUAAUCAUUUGUCUUUUAAUUAAAGGCUUGUAUGAAUGGUCGGACGAGAAAUAAUCUUUCUUUAUUUAAAAAAAAUAAUUUAAUUUUUGAGUUAAAAAGCUCAAAUUUUUUUAUAGGACGAGAAGACCCUGUAGAACUUUAUAUUUUUGAUUAUAUAAAUAUUUUUUGUAUAUGAAUAAUUUAUAUUAUUAAAAAUAUUUUGUUGGGGUGACAUUUAAAUUUUAAUAACUUUUUAAUUUUUAAAUCAUUAAUUUAUGCAUAUUUGAUCCAUUUUUAUUGAUUAUUAGAUUAAGUUACCUCAGGGAUAACAGCGUAAUUUUAUUGGAGAGUUCCUAUUGAUAGUAAAGUUUGCGACCUCGAUGUUGGAUUAAAA